Molecule: long non-coding RNA, 1831 nt
Filed under: Citrus sinensis (sweet orange)
Lineage: Eukaryota; Viridiplantae; Streptophyta; Magnoliopsida; Sapindales; Rutaceae
Description: long non-coding RNA (CSIN_LNC001385)
Source: RNAcentral
AAAUCGGAAGCGAGAACUCGAAAAAGUAAUUUAGUAAAACUCGCCGCCUAUAAAAUCCAAAACCGAGGGCCAAGACGAAGUAUUCACUCAAGGACCGCGAGUCAUGCAUUGUGGUGUGAACAGUUACCAAAACAACGAAAAUGAACCAACGUCUUUGCUGUCUUAUUGUUCUCUUUCUCUCCGAGGUCCCUCUCCUGGCCGCCGGCGACCGUAAAGGAGCGUUGGUUGGUCGUCAAGGACGGUCCUUCGACCAAGAAAUUUGAAGCUGUCGUUUGGGAGAAGCCAUGGGAGCAUUUCAAGAGUCUCACCUCGUUUAAGCCUAUGUUUGGGGGAUGGACUCCGAUAGACCCCACGGAGAAGCACGUGAUGGUGAUCGUGCAGUUCGCGGUGACAGAGUACAACAAACGGUCAAAGAGCGCGUUGAAGUUCGAGAGCGUGGAGAAGGCCUAGACUCAGGUGGUUUCCGGCACCAAUUACCGGCUGAUCUUGGUCGUCAAGGACGAACCUUCGACCAAGAAAUUGUUAGUUGUCGUUUGGGAGAAGCCAUGGGAGCAUUUCAAGAGUCUCACCUCGUUUAAGCCUAUGCCUGGGGGAUGGACUCCGAUAGACCCCACGGAGAAGCACGUGAUGGAGAUCGGGCAGUUCGCGGUGACAGAGUACAACAAACGGUCAAAGUGCGCGUUUAAGUUCGAGAGCGUGGAGAACGCCUGGACUCAGGUGGUUUCCGGCACAAAUUACCGGCUGAUCUUGAUCGUCAAGGACGGAGCUUCGACCAAGAAAUUUGAAGCUGUCGUUUGGGAGAAGCCAUGGGAGCAUUUCAAAAGUCUCACCUCGUUUAAACCUAUGCCUGGGGGAUGGACUCCGAUAGACCCCACGGAGAAGCACGUGAUGGUGAUCGUGCAGUUCGCGGUGACAGAGUACAACAAACGGUCAAAGAGCGCGUUGAAGUUCGAGAGCGUGGAGAAGGCCGAGACUCAGGUGGUUUCCGGCACCAAUUACCGGCUGAUCUUGGUCGUCAAGGACGGACUUUCGACCAAGAAAUUUGAAGCUGUCGUUUGGGAGAAGCCAUGGGAGCAUUUCAAAAGUCUCACCUCGUUUAAACCUAUGCCUGGGGGAUGGACUCCGAUAGACCCCACGGAGAAGCACGUGAUGGAGAUCGGGCAGUUCGCGGUGACAGAGUACAACAAACGGUCAAAGAGCGCGUUGAAGUUCGAGAGCGUGGAGAAGGCCUGGACUCAGGUGGUUUCCGGCACCAAUUACCGGCUGAUCUUGGUCGUCAAGGACGGACCUUCGACCAAGAAAUUUGAAGCUGUCGUUUGGGAGAAGCCAUGGGAGCAUUUCAAGAGUCUCACCUCGUUUAAGCCUAUGCCUGGGGGAUGGACUCCGAUAGACCCCACGGAGAAGCACGUGAUGGAGAUCGGGCAGUUCGCGGUGACAGAGUACAACAAACGGUCAAAGAGCGCGUUGAAGUUCGAGAGCGUGGAGAAGGCCGAGACUCAGGUGGUUUCCGGCACCAAUUACCGGCUGAUCUUGGUCGUCAAGGACGGACCUUCGACUAAGAAAUUUGAAGCUGUCGAUUGGGAGAAGCCAUGGGAGCAUUUCAAGAGUCUCACAUCGUUUAAGCCUAUAUUUGGGGGAUGGACUCCGAUAGACCCCACGGAGAAGCACGUGAUGGAGAUCGGGCAGUUCGCGGUGACAGAGUACAACAAACGGUCAAAGAGCGCGUUGAAGUUCGAGAGCGUGGAGAAGGCCGAGACUCAGGUGGUUUCCGGCACCAAUUACCGGCUGAUCUUGGUCGUCAAGGACGGACCUUCGACCAAGAAAUUUGNNN